RNAcentral lists this non-coding RNA (103 nucleotides) under Acidithiobacillus caldus. RNAcentral describes it as "SAH sequence". It matches the Rfam family "SAH (S-adenosyl-L-homocysteine) riboswitch aptamer". RNAcentral also lists the same sequence under 1 other name. Lineage: Bacteria; Pseudomonadati; Pseudomonadota; Acidithiobacillia; Acidithiobacillales; Acidithiobacillaceae. The record is from RNAcentral.
GUGGUCGAGGGGCGCUGCAGCUUCGUCCACCUUCCCCCUGCGCGAAGGUGCCCGAUGAAGUCAGGCUCGAUCCGGUCUUUCCUUCCAACGGCGCUCGCUUUCA